GAGGUCUAGUUCCGGCCCUGCCCUCUUUCCCAGCCUCAGUUUCCUCCUGUGAGGGAGGGCUGGAGGAGAUGGUAUCUGAAAGCCAUAGAAACUCUGCCUUCAGGGUGGAGGAGGCAGGCCCCCAAACAGAUUGUAUUCAUUUCCUGUGCUGCUGUAACAAAUUACUACCAACUUGGUAGCUUAAAACAAAAGAAAUUUAUUCUCUGGAGGCUGGAAGUCCUAAAUCAAAGUGUCAGCGGAGCCACCCUCCCUCCAAAGGUUCUGGGGAGGAUCCUGCUCUUCUCCUCCAGCCUCUGGCGGCCUCAGGCGCCCUUAGCUUGUGGCUGCCUCACGCUGUCUCUGCCUCCAUCUUCACGUGGCGUCUCUUCUGAUCUGUGUCUUGUCACCCUCUGCCUUUCUCAUCUAAGGAUGCUUGCUGUCAGGUUCAGGGCCUGUCCCGAUAAUCCAGGAGGAGCUCAUCUGAGAUCCUCACCUGAAUAGAAUCCGCAAAGACCCUUUUUUCAAAGAAGCUCCCGUGCACAGGUCUCAGGUGGACCCAUCUGGGACGGGGCGGGGGGGGGGGGGGGGGGGGGGGCGGCGCACGCCAUUCAAGUCACUGCACAGAUCAGAACAGAAAAGUGAGGACCGGAGAACAGGCAGCAGUGUUGACACCGGGAGUGGCCCGUGCAUCCCACACGUGUGUGACAAGUUGUGUGCGCCCCCACGGCCUGGGCAUCCUCCACUUUGAGGAUGGGACGUUUUGCAAGGAGUGUUCAUUCUUCAACUUUUCAUGUGGACCCGAGAGAUUUUCUCUUUCCUGAAUCUCCAAUCAGUAAUAAAAGUCAGCCCUCAUACUGCCUUUAAUAGGUGCCAGGCCCUGUUCUCAGUGUUCCGUGCUUAUUCCUUCGUUUAAUCUUCACAACAUCCCUCUGAGGCCUUGUGGGUGGUUCCCCCUUUCAAGUUGGAGCUGCAACUUGCAAGUUCCAGAACUAGUAUCUGAACCCCGCAGUCUGGCUGCAGACUCCAGGGUCUUGACCGUAGCCACGCUGUCUCCUGGAGGCACACUGUCACCUGUUAAAUCUGGACUUUGAGGAAGCCACCCUCCAGAUCUCCGAUGGCGCCAUCAUCCAUUUCUGCACGGUCGGAUGUGGCAGCCACUUGUCCGCGUGUGGAUCUUGAGAGCUUAAAAUGUGGCUGGUCCAAAAUGAGAUGUGCCCUGAGGGUAACAUUCACACUGGAUGUCGAAGACGAGACGUAGUGUGAUAAAAAGAACGUAAGAUAUCUCGUUAAUAAUUGCCAAUAUUGAGUACACGUUGAGACAAUAUUUUGCAUAUAUCUGGUUAAAUAAAACACAUGAACAAAA
Molecule: long non-coding RNA, 1342 nt
Filed under: Equus asinus (donkey)
Lineage: Eukaryota; Metazoa; Chordata; Mammalia; Perissodactyla; Equidae
Description: lncRNA (ENSEASG00005033859.1)
Source: RNAcentral